UGUUAGGGCUGCAGCACCCGGGGCGCGAAUGCCCCGAGAAGCCCGGGGCUCAGGCGGCACCGACAGGGAGUGAACGUGUCUGAUAUUGAUUCUUUCCCCAUGGCUCCCAUCUUGGUAGGCAAAUGAUUUUGUACUUCGCUGAGAUUAAAUAUUAAUACAUAGGAAAAGAACUUAAAAGAGAGAUUCCAGGCCUCUAAAUAAUUACUUACAAUUCAUUUUAAAAGCAAAUUAAACCCCGGGCCCCUGGGAGGCUGAGGCAGGAAGGAAGAUUGCAAGUUUGAGCCCAGCCUGGUCAGCCUAGCAAGGCCCUGUCUCAGAAUAAAAAAUAAAACGGGCUGGGGGCAUGGCGGGAGCAGGUCUGCAUCAUUUUGGGGAAAAAUCAUUUGAUCAGGCCUAGUUCUUCUGCCUAGAGGCCAGCCUUUGGGGUUUCCAGACAAAACUCCAUUUUGGUCUCCGGUCACAGCUGAGACCUCAGUGGUCCGGUGAUGCUGUGAUGCUCCAGGACAAGAAACAUCCUGGGAGGAACAAAAUCUUCAUCUACUCAGUUCCUCAUUGUUCUUGGAUUGUUACACCUUGUUUAUCCUGAUGUACUGAACUCUUGGCAAGUCAUUUGUUACAUCUGUUUCUCCCGAUGUACUGAAUAAAGGUGCGGUAAGCUUGUGGGCAUCUGUCUUUGCCGGCCAGAGCAGCACUGAUCAGGCCCAAAGCUCAGCUGCUCCAAGUCUCAUUUUUCUACCUUCCCUGUAUGAUGUUAAUUCGCCUUGUGCUGCUGUGGCUCGCAGGAGACUAGGACUCACUGCAGAGGUUCUGGUAACGUGCCCUGUCCCUGGCCCCUACAGGAAUACAGCUCAGUGUGAAGGCCCCAGGUUCAAUCCCCAGUACUGAAGGAAAAAAAGAAAACGGUGUUUGUCAGGUAUGCGUUUGAGUUUGAGUUGCACAGUGCAGGGGGUCUUGGUGGGGUUCACUUUCUCCCCAAGUGGAGGUGUGUUCUGCUUCAAGGGGCUGUCCACAUCCACAGCUAGGACAGCAGGCUGAGGUGAGGCCGCAGGAAGUGCUUUUCCCCGGCUGGGACUUAGUCCUGUGCAGCUGCAGGGAUCCCCACUGGUUCAAGCUGCAGUUUUGGCUUCUUCGAACCAAGGAUGGCUUCAGGCACAGCUGGACCCAGGUAUCCAGAUGAAGGACAGGCCGGGGGUCCUGCCCUGUUCUGGCAGGUGUGAUCCUCGGGUGGCAGAGCUGGCGACCACUUCAGGCUGACGGCCUCUGCUCGGCGAACCUCUUUCCCUUCUGGCUCCGGCUUGGCCCGGGUCUCUCCCCGAUCUCGGUCCUGGCUGCCCCCAGCCCCCUGGACCAACAAUCAGAAUCCCCUCCUGCCUCAGAAACACAGCUCAGCGUGAGGGGUGCCAGCCCUUGGCCGGUGUCGCGACCACCACAAAGGCCACUGGGCGGGGUCGCCCAGUCCACUGGCAGUGGUGCCCCGCCCCAUCCUUCUGGGCUGGAAGGAGACCCAGGCCGGCAGGAGGGCUUCCUGGAGGAGGCUGCGUCUGGGCAGCGACCUGGGCGGAGCGGGACUAGAUCUUCCCAAGCUUCUGGGCCAGCGGGGCCGAGCUAGGGAGCAGCGUCUCGCCUCCCUCUGCACUCCUCAGGCCUCUCAGGGCUCUGGCUCGCCUUGCUCAGCCUCUCGUGGGACAAAGGCCAGUGCUCUUGUCAGCCUGCAUCGCCACCUGGUGGCGACAGCGUGGGCGGUGCAGGCCUCAGACAAAGGUUUGAAAUGAGGCGAAGUAAUAUUUUUUAUUACUUUUUUCUCUUUCAAGUGUUAGUUUUGGGGUUUUUGUUGUUUGUUAAAUUAAUUCUUGGUACACUUGAUAUACAUAAAGAUCACAUUCAUAAUAGGGAAUUGUACCUGUUCAUAAUAUAUCUUGAUGAUUAUUUUUUCCCCAUUCCUCUCCUUUCCCAAGGAAAAGGAAAAAAAAGAAUGGAAGGAAAAAAUAGAAACAAAGCUUUUGUAAAUAAGGAGGGGGACAAGGGUUGAGGGGUGAGAUCAGAAUUACUUCACAUUUUCCACGUGAGGUGAAACUAAAGGAUGUGAAGACGGAAGACUCAGCCCAGCGCCCAGCGGUGUAAGGUAGCCGGCCUGCGCGCGCACACACACUGCCGUCCAGUUGAGCGCCGGUGCUGGGUGCUGUCGUGCGCUGCACACCACUGCCCUCCGGGCCGCCUGUGGGCCCCGUGCUUCACUGAGGCGCUGCACUAAGGGCCCCGGAGAGAGCCACUCGCCCUGCACAGAAGAUGGGCUCCCUGCACGCCCCGCCCUCUUGUCCACCGGGGUGAACCCAGCUACUUGGCUCCUUCCACAGCUGCUUGUGGCCCUGGAGGCCGGCCUCGGUGGUGUCUGCCCGGAUUUGUGUCCCAUCCGCGGAAGGGGCUUCUCGGGAGCAGGCGGGCUGGUGGCGUCUGUCCUCAGGAUCUAGUGUGGCCUUUGGGGCCUGAGCGAGGGUCGGGAGGGCUCCCUGCCGUUUGUCUACCGGGCGCCAGAGGCUGGGAAGGGGCACUGUGUGUUCUGCAGCGGGUCCUUCUGGGGCCCCAGCACGAGCCUCCUCCUGAGCGGCUCCUCCACCUCCUGCAGCGCGCAGGCUGGUGCCGGCCUCCGAGUUUCAAGUCGGGUUAGCGGCGGGGCAGGGGUGACAGGCUUGGGUCGGUGGGUGGCGUGUUGCCUGUUGUAUUUCUCACACUCCAAGCGUUUCCCUCCCACUGAGAGCUGGGAAAAAAUAACACGUGACCUUGGCAAGAUCUUUAUUUUCCACAUGAAAACAACAACCACCUCCAAGCAACCAGCUGAAAUAUUUGACGGAGAAGCGCAGGGGGCCAGGGACAGCGUGCGCUCCGAUUGCCCUGCCGCCAGGUGGGUCAGCGCCCUGCAGCCAGGCGACAGCCCAGCCGCCAGGUCUCUUUCUUGGGUUUGGAGGAAGCUGCGUUGAGCGCCCAAGGCUGGCCCCACCCGCUCGGCUUUGAACAUUCACCACUUCGAAGAUCACACAAUGUGGGCCCAUCAAAAUAGGUCAAGGUGUCUGUUUUAAAAGUGAGUGUACACAGUCCACUUAGAAAUCCACCUCCCUGAGUUGUCAGUAAUACGGCACCUUCCUGGCUCUCAGCAAACACUCACACAGGGCUGCAGGUCUCCCCGCAGCUGUGAUGAAACUCCUGGGCCCAGGGGCCUUGAGGGUGACAGUGACAGAGCACUGGGAGCAGGAGAGACCUUUGUGGCCGCUCAGCUCUCACCAUGGGGACCCGAGGGGCGUGGGCCGGGCUGAGAACGCACUGGGCUGCCAGUCUAUGUCCCCCGGAGCAGCCCUGCUGACCGCAGGCACUUUUAACAGCAGGAAGUCCUUGUCUCCCAGCUCUAGAGCAGAGCCUGAAGCCAGGGCACGGGAGCUGGCUGCCGCGCUGCGGGUCUGCCCUGGGCUCUCGGGCGCCUGGUGGCUGCUGGCGAGGUUCAGUGCACGCAUCACCCUGACCUCUGCCUCCACCUCCACUGGCGCUCUGCCUGUGUCUGUGCCUAAUCCCCUCUCACAGGACACUCACUGGAUCGGGACCCACCCUAUUCUGCCAUGACCCCGUCUCUGCCAGCGGUGUCUCGAGUGACCCUGCCCAAGCACGGUCAUCCCUGGGGCCUGAGGUCAGGUAGAACCAGGAGGCCUGUGUUGCAGCAGAGCAGGCACUGGUGGAGCUCUGUCCUGGGCUUCCUUUCCGCCCUCAUGCCUGACAUAUGGGCACGGCCUGGGGGCUGAAGCUCAUCCUGCAGCCUUGGAGACCCUGCCCAGUGGUGCCUGCUCUCUGCCCAGCUUCUUCCCUGAGGUCAGACAGCCCUCACCCACGCCUCACUCGUCCCGAACCCUGGGCUGUGCCACCCAGCGACCCUGCACAGCUGUGGAGCCAGACGGUGGAUGUCAGUGCCGGGCCCAGUGUGAGUCCUGGGGGGCUGGUGCCUGGCCCAGCGGGGUUCUCCUCCCCCUGUCCUGGUCCCAGGCAUCCUGGAGCCUCGCUGGGACUGGGGUGGAUUGUGGGAGGCCUCACUCUGGGCACAUGCAGGAGCCUACGCAGGUCAACGUUUAUCCCCCGGGGAGGCAGAAUGUUUGGUGCCUCUUACAAAAUAAAAAUGCAGGAACACUUGCUCAAAGCUCAAGAACUUUUGUAGUAGCUGCAGAGGAGUGAACCUCCCGAGUGGAGACAGGGCGGCUGUCCAGGUCCCCGCCCUGUGACACCAGUGGGGGGCAGAGGAAUGCUCAGAAAGCCACUGCAUUCCCUGUCGCUGCCUGCUGAGCCGCACUGCCUGUGGGAUGUCUGGACAAGCAGUUGAGACCCGUCACUGCUCCGCCAGCCCAGAACACAGAUGGUCUCGGGGGCCAGGCGAGCGGGUGCAGGGUGCCUGCUUUCCCUGCUACCCAACACGGGGUUUGUGCAGCCAGCUCACCAGUUCAGAGGGCUGUCCGGUGCUGUUCAGCAGCUCACUACCUGUGCAGCCAUCACCAGCAACCCCAGAACAUCUCUAGCCCCAGAAGAAGGCCCUGCCCACUGGCUGUUCACCCCAGUCUCUUCUUCCCAGGGCCUGGCAACCAUGUGCCUCCUUUUGGUCUCCGGGUUUGCCUGUUCUGGAUGUUUCAUAGACACGGAUUCAUGCUGGGGAAGCAGCUCAGUGGUAGACCACUUGCCUGGCAUUCAUGUCACUAAUUUAUUGAUUAGUGUCUCUGGGGACAGAGCUCUGGAGGGGACUAGGUUCAAUCACCAGUACUGGGGAAAAAGGCCCAUGCUACACAUGGUCUUUUGGGUGUAGAUGACAUACUUUUGAGCAGUCGCAUCUAGGUCACCUUUACCCAAACAGUGACAUCCAGGACUGGGAAUUCCGGGGACCCCACCUCAGUCAGCAGCUCAUUCUAUGGUAAUUUGUGUAGGUGACACAGAGCCACUAAUGGGCACCUCCUUACUGUGCCUUUCCCCGUGAGGGCAGUUGGAUAUGCCCCGUGCGUUCCCCAACUCCAAAAGGCACAGUCACGUGUUAGGGCCUCCCUGCCCCGACCCCUUGAGCAGGAGAGAGCAGAGGGGAGGCAGGGGAGCGCCGGAGCAGUGUCUGGGCGCGGGUCUGUGGUGGAGAGAGGCGGAAGUGAACUAAUCUGGCGACUGGUCGGCUCCUGCCUCCUGCCGGGUUGUACUCAGCAGAGGGCGUGGGCGUGGGAUCUGAGCCCUUCGGAUUGCUCUGGCGCUGCUGCCGCUGCAUUACCCAAAUGGGGCAUGGAAUGAAGGCUCCAAGCUGCUUAGCGGCGGAAUUUCAAUUUUCUUCCGCCUUCAUCCUCGCUUUCUGGUGGAGGAGGGACCCGGAAGCCCACCCAGCCCUGCUGUCUCCUCCGCUCCAUCCCACUAGCCCUUCCCUGGCGGAGUCCCGAAGCCACCAGCCUUGAGCUGCUCCUCCAGCUGAGCACCGACACGGCAGACCUGGAGCUGGAGCUCAGGGCCGGCUGGGCCAGGUGUCCCGCUCCAGAGUUCUCUGGGCAGUGGCUGGAGCCCCUGGGCUCUGGGCUUCACAGCGGGGCUGUGCAGUUUGGGGAGGAGUCAGGUUUGGAGAAGGUGGAGGCCCAGUUAACACCUGGUGAGGAGCUCCGCCCUCAUAGUCAACGGAAACGCCUGACAGAGGCGCUGUGGAGACACGCGGUUUGUUCCUCCUUGUGAUGACUUCUGGUUUCUGACGGCUACUGCCUUGUGCACCCAGUCCCCCAGCUUUGCACUUCUGCAGCUCAAGGUGGGGUCCCAGCACAUGUGAGCCUCUCUGCUCGCACUGGCAUCUGGACCACAGGGAUUCAUUUAAAUUCCACCCUGAGCACCCACACUGGACGGGGCAGCGACUCAGGUCCUGAGCCUCCGGCCCUGGUAGACAGCAAGAGCCCCAGGAAGCCUCUUGGUUCCCGUGCCCCCCCCCCAGGGCAGCUCUGUGGGGGUCCAGGCUGAGUCCCCAAGGGCCAACCUGGCUUGAGGUUAUUGACUAACACUCAACUCACCGCCCCAGGGGAGCUAGUCAGAGGCUGCCUGAGCACAGACACAGAAAGGAAAAAUAAAUGUUUCAUGGUCUGGACUAGCGAGGGAAGAAAAUAAAUAGCUACAUCCGCAAGUUAAGUGCAGGCUUCCUACUUGGGGUCCUCUGAGUUUCUCGUCCCACUCCUCCCUCUGAGGUGAGACUGCAAACCACCAGGCUCCAGUCUGAGUUGGGGAGAGGCAGGGUCACCAAAGCCAUCGCCCUGAUGAGGGCUUCCCGGCCCCCUGAGCAGAGCGGGGAGCUCUCUGAGGGCCACCCUGGAGGCUGAUGUGACAAAGCCAGGGUGGAGAAUGUACCCCAAGGCCUCUUCUGGGGGUGAGGAACGGGCAGGCCUGCAGUGUCCGGAGCCAGCCGUUGGCCUACCAUCCUGGGGGGCAACAAAGGACACCGCCCCGCAUGAACCACGUUUCCGAGGAGGAAAUUACAGAGGACAAAAACGACCACUUUUUGUUUUUUAAAAAAUAAGUUCCUUUGUCCCAAGGCAAGUAUUACAAGCAAGGAAAAAGUCCAUUGCACUGAUUUGGGCGGGCACAGGGGCCCAGGCUGUUCUGGCUGCCAGGACUCGGGCAUUCUUUGCCAUCUUGAGGGUGGUGAGCAGGGUGAGUCCCCAGGGGGUAAUUCUGCUCCUGGGUCUACACCCCCCUCUCCAAGCUGGGAGGGCCUGUCAGGAGAAGCAGCCCUGAGGGGAGGUCUUGGCCCUCCACGAAAUAAAGGGGCCUGGACCUGAGUCACAGCUGGGGCAGUGGCCACAAGGCUGGGGCCAGAGGGCGGCAGACAGGACACUCCCGGCUGGGGGAGGCUGGCGGUGGGAAGCAAGGGGUGGUCUGGAGGAGAGCUACAUCUGGGCUGGCCUUAAUUGGUCCCCAGGGGCCCAGGGCCCUGUGGAAUUGUCCUGUCCUCUGAGAUCUCGUCUGUCCAGAGUCUCAGGCUGAGAAGAAUGGCCACUCAAUCAGACACCCAACCUGAAAAUGUCAUAUUAUUAAUUGUGAAGUGUUUAAUAAUCACAGCACAAUCAUUGCAGGCAGCAGGGUGGAAAGUGCAAAUGUAGUUUUAAAAUAGUACAUUUUAAUUUGGUCAUUGGCAGGAAAAAAGACAAAAUAAAUACCCUCUUUGGCGGCUGGGGGUGAGAAUGGGGGGAGGCCAGGUGGUGUCCACCCAUGUCCUGUAGCCAGGGCUACUUCCAGGCAGGCCUGCCCGCCUCAGGUGCCAGCAGCCACCUCCCCAUGCUUGGACCGGAGUAGGAGUUUUGUGAUGUCCUUGCAGUCUGCCUGGCAAGGUCCCAGCGCGGUGGCCCGCGGCUGUCGGGUGGGGCGUCCUGUGAGCUGUGUGGACAGCAUGCUGGUUGUGUCCCUGGACCCUGGCUGGUUCUCGAUCCGUUGGUGACUGAGUGUGGGUGUCUCAGCCUCUGACUCAAUUGUUAAAUAAUCUGUUUCUUCCUUCAGUCCUGCCAGACUUCACUUCGUGUACUUCAAGUUUCUGUUAUAUGUGGAUACAUUUAUGGUUGUGCCUUUUCCUGUUUUAUUGACUUUUUAUCAUCAAAAAAUGAUUCUCUUGUGUCUACUAUUACUUUUUGUCUGAAAGCUUAUUUUGUCAUCUGUAAAUGCCACAGAAUUUUUUUUUUUUUGGUACCAGGGAUCGAACUCGGGUCCUUGAGCUUUCGAGUCUGGCAGCAGAACCACUGAGCUAAAUCCCCAGCCCAGUCAUCUAUAAAUGUAAUAGUUUCGGCUGUGCUGUGAUUAUUACUCACACGGCAUAUAUUUUUCCUCCUUUUCCUUUCUACAUUUGCAUCUUGAAAUUAAAACAGGUCUUGUAGACAACAUAUAGGUCAUCUUUGAUUUUUGGGGGGGUUGUACUGGGGAUUGAGCCCAAGCCUUUCACACUGAGCUAUACCACCCAGCCCUUUAUUUAUUUAUUAAAUUUUGAGACAGGAUCUAAGUCUCUACAUUUCACCAGCUUGGUUUGAACUUGUUAUUGUCCUGCCUCAGCCUCCCAGAGUACUAGGAUGGCUGGUUUAUGCCACCACCCCUGGCUUUGCUGUUUGUUUUGUGUCUCAUGUCUUUUUGUUGCUCUGUUCCUCCUUCACUGCCUUCAUUGUGUUAAACAAAUAUAUUCUAAUAUAUCAUUUUAAUUCCCCUAUUAAUUGUUAAAUACAGUGGCACCUCGGUUCACAAACUUAAUUCUUUCCACGAUUCUGGUUGCAAAUCAAAUUGGAUGAGAACCGAAUCAAAUUCCCCAUAAGUCAACAUUGAACCUGACCAUUGAAUUUGAUUCGGUUCUCGUCCAGUUUGGGCACAGAUAGCUAGGCAAGAACCCAGGCUGAUGGGUGGUUUGGGGGACAUGGUGGAUUUAGAGGGGAGGCACGGGCUAGGCUGCUGGAGCACACAAACUGGCCCUCUGGCAUUCCCACACAGGCAGCACCGACCGGGAAUGUGGGGAAGGGGGUAGUUGUUUGUUAGCUUGUCAUACCUUAUAGCUAAUUAUUUAAUUACCCUAAUUUAAAGUUUUACCAGAUUUAGCAUCAAAACUUAAAAAUCUUGUGAUUGCAGCAUGAGAAAGUCAUAAUGUAAUUAACCUGUUUGGGGUAACAGAUUAACUCAGCUGAGGCGUGGCAGCCUCUAUCUGGAGCAGAAUCGAGCUGAGAUGUGGGGACUUCAAGGCCUGGGGGAUCAGAAAGCUGCCUACACAAGCGGGGGCCUUGGUCACAGCAGCACACCCUGCUCGCCAGUACCAGGAGCCAGGAGGGGUUCCUCCCAUCCAAGUACUAGCCAGGCCCGAGCCUGCUUAGCUUCUGAGAUCGGCCGAGACCGGGCGUGUUCAGGGUAAUGGUCAUAGACAGGACGGGGCUUCUGUAAGCUGAGCCCUCUGGACGAGGGAGCGUGAUUCCAAGCCCAUUUGCAGUUACCAAACCCCAUAUUAGAGAGAAGGCCACGCUCCCUCCCCUUCCUGCCCUUCUCCAAUACUGUUCACAGCUUAAGCGCUCUAUGAAGGCAAAGCACUGGCCAGGGCCUGCUCCUCCUGCCACGAAGAGGGUGCUCAGACACUUCUGGGAUCGGCUCAGUGAAAAGCAGCUCUGGUGAAGAUUCGGGCGUGAGAGGCCCACUGUGGGCGGGCUGGCUGGAGGGUGGUGGGCAGUGCACACGCUCCAUCUGGGCACACAAGAGCCUUCUAGCCAUGCCUGUGUCCACUCGAGAGCCGUACGCUUUGAACGCUUGCUGCAGCCAUGUGGAGACAGGCAGGCGUCCUUGCAGCAUGAGCUGCUUGAGCCUCGAAUGCCCUGACUGCCUGGGGCCCGCUGCACCUACUGGACAGAAGCACGGAUUUCAAUGUUGGGAAUAUAUCUGAACAUAUCACCUGAGGCCUUGGGAGCCCCACAGCCACGUCGCUUCCUCAUGGGGUUAGAGAGAAGGGGUUGUUAACAGAGGACUGGAGCACAGAGCCAGACCCCACAAGGGCCCAUCCUCCAAGCCAGCUGAGCAAAUUCCCCCCAUGAGCCCCAGGAGGUGGCUCCCAUGAUUCUGUGUGGCCAAGGUCACCAUGCUUUUGAAUUCACCAGCUCACUGCUUUGCCCCAGUUGUAGCCAUGUCUUCCCUGCUGCGAAGGUCCUCCGGAGAGUUCAGAAUUUCUAGAAGUUAUAGCUCCACUAAUUGAACCGGGAAGAAAAAGUGGAACAAGAGGGCAGUGUUGAAGGGGCCUUGCCUGGGGCCAGCUUCAGGAAAAUGGGAGCAGCUUCAUGGGGGCGGAGUGUCACGAGAGAGGAGGAGAACAGCAGAAACUCUGGUGGGUGCAGGCAAAGGCAAGCCAGAAUGAGGGCUUUGUUACCCAGUUCUGAGAGGAAAAUAAAGGUGAGGACUGCAAUUGGGUCAAGUGUCUGAGAUCACCAGCGACCAUGUUCAUCAUCACUGUUAUUGUCCUCACCAUCAUCAUCACCGAUGCUUUAUUUCUAGAGUGUCCCCAGUCUCGAGUGUUCAGAGGAGGGACUUUUUUUUUUUUUUUUUUUUUUUGGUACUGGGGAUUGAACUCCGGUCUUUAUUUUUUGUUUUGUUUUGUUUUGCUUUGUUUUGUUUUUGUUUUGGUGCUGGGGAUCGAACUCGGGUCCUUGCGCUUGUGCAGCAGGCGGCGAAACCACUGAGCUAAAUCCCUGGCAGAGGAGGGACUUUUGACAGGUGAGUGCUUACAGGAGUGCUACGGCUGAUCUGCUGUUCGAAGGUGGGGUGGAAUGACCUGGCAGGUUCUACCCCCCUCUUCUCUAUUCCUCUCCCUCUCUGCAUCCUGGUCACCAGGAUGGGAGCAGCAUUUCCUCUGCCAUGUCUGUCUGCCAUGCCGUUUCUGCCUUGGAGCUGGCCAACCAUGGACUGAAACCAUAAACUAAGGCAAACUUGUCCUCCUUUAUAUUCCAAGUAUUUUGUCUCAGUGGCAAGGAAAGUGACUAAGACCACCCCAUCACCUCUGUUAUCACUGUCACCAUCAUCACCAUUGUCACUGCAGACCAGUGGACACAGCGAGUACCAAACUACUCGAAGAUAGCAUUUCUGGGUCUGUGGACAGAGCCUGUGCAUUUGAGGGUGCACUCUGUGUGUGUGCAUGUAUAUGUGUGCGUGUGUGUUUAUGCAUUCUCUUGCGGAAGAUGAGAGUGUCUGAAUGGAAGAAGAGGGCAGGAGCCCUGCACUGUGCAAAGGCCCACAGCUGAUAGUCAGCGGUUGAGCUGAGAGCUCCGUGAAGGGAGCUGGCAGUGCUGGGUCUUCUCUCUGGUGCAUCUUGCGCAAGCCCCUGCACUGCUGGGAGCCAAGCAUCCUGGCUCGCUUUGCACUCACUGUGGUGCUCAGGUGCUGUUCAGUCUGCCCUCUUUGCCAGGUCGACUCAGUGCAGGUUAUCAGCAGAAACAGGUGAAGGGUCCUCAAGUCCCACACACAGGCCCGCACAUAGUAGGGUUCCCUGAUCACUGCAGAGACUUUCUAUUGAGGCCUUGUUGUCAGGGGACUCCCACAAGGUGGUGGGUAUCAGCCAAUCCUUUCAUAGGGUGCUACAUAUGUGUAGCUUGAAAUAACAAGGUCAGAUAUAAAUAGGAGGCAAAGCAAUGGAGAAGAGUUACUGAAAUCACCUGAUCCACCUUAGGAGAGAGGUCCUGGAACCUUGAACCCCCUGGGGAGAGACUCCUGUCCCUACACAUGAUGGGCCUGGUUGCACAUCCUGAACACCAGGUUGACCAGCUGCCUACCUCCUCGCUGCCCGCUCUGCCCCAGGACUUCCUACUUGGAGCAAGGCUGCCCUUGAGGCUGCUCUCCCAGUCCCCCUCUCCCACCUACCCAGGCUGUUGGCCAAUAGCGGUCCAAGCGAUCCUGUCAAAAUGCAUUGGCUGGCAUUCUUCCCCCGCAGCAAGCCCUGUGGGGGUCCUAGUGGAAGUCAGUGUGAGACGCAUCUGUUUGUCUGCCCAUCUCUCUGCCCACCAGCCAAUCCUUCCCGACCUCCGCCCUGUCCUCAGCUUUGUGCUGCUGCCCCACAACCACAGCCUGGAUCCCUCUGUUCUCCCUGUGCCAAUUCCCGGAGAGGGUGCUCUGCCACACUCUCACCCCAGCACCAGGCCAGCCCUCGCAAGCACUCCGCGGCUCACCCUUUGCUCUCUCUGGGGCUCAGCACCCGACCGGUGCGGUUCAGCAGCGGCUCCUGGCAGCGAGAGUUCAUGGCUGAAUGAAUAAGCAGAGUCCUGCCAGGAAGCAGACCCUCAAAUGACUGUGGGGGAGUCAUGUGUGGGGCACAGAUCGGAGGGCAGGUGGCAGUACGGCCCCCUACACCACAGGGAAGGUGGGAGGACCAGAAAUAAACACCCCCUACCCCACUGCCAAACCCACCAGAGGCCAGAGCCAGGGAGCCCGACUGUCCAUGUGAAGGGGCAGGCGGGAGACUGGAAGCCCUGCGUCCAGCCCUGUCCAGAGCCCCUGGCCAUCAGAGUCGGACCUCAGGUUGGUCCAGAUGUGGACUCUGAUUCCUGCCCUGGGCUCCGUGAGGCAGUGCAGCAUGAGCACCACAGGGAGGGAGCAGCUGGCUCCUCACCCCGAGCACCUUGGGCACUGGGUUCUGCUCUUCUCUAACAUGCUGGCAGUGCAAGUGCCUUUCAUAACAGCGGCCUGGUUAAUUAUCCGUUUCUGAAAAACAGUUCAGGCUUCCAGUAGGCAGUGCAGGUCACCUUGGAAAAUGAGAGGGCACUGAGGCAACAGAGGAUGGGAGCUAGCAGCGAAGAGAUGCUCAGGUCUCUUGAGUGUUGGGUAAAUCAGGACAUUUGGUGCCAGGCCGCCUGGCUAAUUAGAUUUCCACCAACCCCACAGGGAGCAGCAGAGGCAGAGUCUAGUGAAAAGCAGGCUGAGCGAGCGGCUUUGAGCCUAAGCAUUUGCCAAAAGGUGAGAUAGUGUUGGCUGCUUCAGCGGGCUGCGUCUCUGCUGGGCUCUGCUUGUGCAUCCCCAGCAUUCAUUCCCUCCAGCCCUGCUCCGCUCCUGCUCAGACCCCUGCCCUCUGGAGUCUUCCAUCUCCCUUCCCCCCUGGCUUGCCUGGACUUUUCCACAGAGGACAGAGAAGCAAACCCUUUCCUCCAGAGGCUCCUUGGGGCCUCUCCGCCCUCCGACCUGGCAGGCUGGUCCUGGAGGCCAUGCCUGCCUGGAUGGCAGCCCCACGGAUUCCUCCACUCAACUUCAUGCUGCUUAAAACCUGCAUAUUGGGGGAGACCUGGUGUUAUGUCUGUGCUGAAAAACCUGAAGCUUGGUAAAACUUUAGAGUCUAUGCGCUGGGAAGGACUCGUGAACUCGGGAGCAUCAGAGGAGGAGGCCUGUGGGUCCAUUCAUGGCAGGAGCAGGGCCGCCGGGGGAGCACAGGAGCAGAUCGAGCCGUGUGAUUGCUGCACCCCACGUUGCCUCUUUUGGCUUCCCCAUUAGAUGCACCAGCGCCUGGGGGCUACCUGUCCUCGGCGGAGGUUAGGCUUUGAAUCUAAUGUAAUUUUUUACCAGAAAUGAGCCAGAUUCCGCUUAUGUUUGCAAAUCAAGCAAGGCUGAGAGCCCUGAUGAAGUCUGCCUGGUUUUGUCUUCAGUCCGGUUCUCUGUUUUUAUUCACUUGAACACAUCUUUUCCAAGUAAAGGCUUUAAUUGCCCCAGAACAGAUGACUGAGGAGGUCUUGCGGGAAGCAGGGACAGUUUCCUGGGCUUUGGGGUGUCCCAGGCGCUCUGCAUCUCUAGUUCUAGGGAAACCCCUGCCUGGAACCAGACCCUGGAGGACCCGUGAGGAGGUAGGGUCUGCAGCAGGAGCCCCGGGAGGAGGCGGGGGGACUUUCACCUCCCGCUUAGACUGACUCUGGCUGCUGGACUGUGUGGGGUGGGGUGGGGGGCUCCCCAAGCAGGACAGGGCCCGGCAGCAGCACCCUGGCGCUCCUGCUUUCCCGGUCCAGAUCCGCCCAGCCUUGGUCUUGACCCCUCCCUCCCCUCCCUCUGCAUGCCCCAAGCACCCAUCUGCAGCCCGGACUGGCGCUGCAGGACAUUUCAGAGCGGCCCGAGGGACCAGCUUUCCCACAGGUGAGCAGCCUUUGCUAGCAGCCUCUGGGACAGUGGAGGUGGCCAGGGCUUCAGUGAGCAUUUUAAACAUUGCAGUGUCUGAGUGUCAGCCACAGCCCCCAAAGACUGAGGCCGGGACUGUCGCUGUGGCCAGGUGCCAGGGCAGGGCAGCACGCAGCGGGUGGUUGUGCUGGGGAGGGGGCCAACAUAGGAGGCCGGGAGAGAUGCCCUAAGGGGAGAAGGCCCAUGUCCCAGGGCCGAGAAGACAUCAAGGCCUCGUCGGCCGGGCCUGCCCUGUGCUGCCCCUGCCCUGCGAGGUGCCCCCAGCCACCCCUUCCCUUCUCACCAGCAAGCCCUCAAAGAUCCUCCCAGCCAGGAGCACCCCAGCCCUGAGCUGGGGUGGUAGGGCUCGUGCCAGCUGGCAGGGCUUCCUGGUGUCUCUCUAAAAGACUGAAAAUGAUGACAGACCCUGGCCACGGACCCAGGCUGGCGCGGGCAGCCGUGUGUGGUCAGGGACAGGGGCUCCAAGCCCUUGGGGAAUCUCUGAUUAGUAAGGGGGCAGGGAAGGCCUUCCAGGUCAAGGAGGCAGAGCCCAGAGUGCCCAAAGCCCAGAGGGAAGCAGGUUAGGGUGGGCAGUAAUGGCCAAGGGCAGCACCAUCCCUUCCCUGUACAGCGCCCCUCCCCACACUGCUGGAGGAAGCAGAGUUCGGGGUUUGCCAUGCCCAUUGCAGGUGGCAUGUUUUGUGGACCCUGGAAAGGGCCCACCCCCAUGUCCAGGAAGAUGCUGGGGAAGGGCCCAGGGCGUGCGGUACCACCCAGGGUGAGUCCUGGUGCCGGCCCUGCCUGUGCCAUCCUUUCUUUCUGGGGACGGAACCCAGCCCUGGGCUUUCCUGGGCCCCAUGGCUCUUGGACAGCUCGAGCCCGCAUUUCUGACUGCUGGCAGCCUGUGAGGUGGCUGGCAUCCAGGGCAGCUCUGUGCCCUGGGCCUGUGGCCUGGGAGACCAGCCCAGACGCAGGGCGCCCGCAGUGUCCUCUCCCCGCCGGCCUCAGGCCAGGCAGGGUUUUCGCUCCUGUCCAUCCAGCACAAUUUCUCGGGUUACAAAGGGGGAUCUAUUUUGUUUGUUAAAAAAAAAAAAGCUGAUUAUCAUAGAUAAAUGUAUCUAAUUAGUCUCAUUUGCUGACACACAAGCCUUUAAUUGGGAGUUGAAUAAUUGGACAUAUCUGCAUAUGCAAAUGCUACAUUAUACCCUAUGUCAGUCUUUAACGUGAUUCCUCCAGAGACAAAUAAUUCUCUCAUUUCAGGAGAGAAUGUGAUAUAUUAAUUUACAGACAGACAGCUUUAUUUAGAAUCAGCAACUCUUGUGUUUGUUUACUUGAAGCAGUAACUGGAGAAAUAUCAGCGAUCCUGGCUGAGGAAAUGUCUGGGGUACUAACCCCUGAGGCAGCCCCUGUGCACCUCCGGCUAGGGGCUUUCCUGGCCCUCAGGCGCCAGCUGAGCGGUCAGAGGCCCGUGGAUGCAGCUCUGGCCCUACUCGAGCGAGGGCCAGUGUGGUGCCAGUGUGCGCGGUGCUGGGUCCUGGGCAGUACUCUUUCCCCUUCAGCGGGCCCAGGGUCACAGGGGCUGUGCUGGGGAGGCAGAGCUGGAGGGAUUUGGCUCCAGCAGAAGGAGGAUGUGGCAUUCCCGCCUUCCAAAGGCCCCUCAGCAGCUCGUCGCCUUGGCAACCAGCUGGGAGCCGGCAGAAGCUGACACUGUCCCAAUUCGCCCCAGUGAUCCCCUCCCCACUGUCUCUGGGCCUGGCCAGCCAGCAGAGGGCAGCAGCGGGCUGCUGGUGGCCAUGGUGGGGCGCAGACCCCGCACUUGCGCUGGGGAGAGCAGCAGGAGGGUGACAGGGAUUGGUUGUUGUGCCUACACGGAGGAAAGGGGGUGUCACCAUGGCGACAAUGUGGCCACACCCUUCUAGGUGUUCUGUCUGUUGGGCUGAGGGGCUGAGUAUGCCGAGCCAGCAGCCUCUAAGGAUGGGGUCUCCGGCCUGCUCACGGCCCCAGUUGCUGGCGAGACCCAGGGCUGUGCUCGUUCUCAUUGGCUCACAUGCGCAUUCGUGCGUGCAGUCAGUCAUUCGCUCCUUCUGUCACCUACCCAUGAUUCACGCACUGGCUCGCUUGCUCGCUCACUCAUUCACCCACGAACUCGUCAUACGGAAGGCGUCAGGUGUCUUCAAGUCUCUGCUGCCAGUUUCUCCUGGUUCCGAGCUGGGUCAUUUAUUUUUUGAAGUUUCUUCCCCUGCCUGAGGUUAACCCGGCAUCUACAGCACAAGCAAGAGAAAACAUUCUUGUAGCCAUAUUUCUGGUUCAAGGAAUUCAUCUAGAGGAGCAAAAAAAUAUGGAACAAGAGGAAGGAUGUCACCAAAAGCCCACUGGUCAUUCUCUUUGAGCAGUGUCAAGAGGCUGUCAGCGGGCUGCAACGUUCGCACUGUGGUAUCAGCAAGCAUCAGGGGUAGCUCUCAGAAAGCUUUAUUAAAAUCUGUAGGCCCAGCUGAGACACAGGUCUGGGAGACAGUUAGCUGCGUCCCUCCCCGGGAGCUGCGGUUGUGAUGAGGCCCCUGCCGCCCUGGCCUGGGGCCAGAUGGUGGGUGAAAGGGAAGCCAAUUGGACACAGCUUCAAGGCUGGGGGCCGAGGGCUCUGGGGCUCAUGUGUGCGUGUGAUGGCUCUGUGCACAGGUGAGGCCCAAGUGGUGUGCACACGUGCAGGUGCAUGUGUAAGAAGUGCACCCGUGCACACAGUCUGUGUGUUCUCACACUGACAGGGCCUAGCCCCACAGAGUGGAGGAGGAGCCCCCCGAACCUCCCUUCUGAGCCACCACACUGGGGAUGUGGUCGCAUGGCUGGCUGAGCCCUCAGCCUGCCCUUGUUUGUAGCAGGCGCGGUGUUCAGCCAAGUCGGGGCACGCGGGUGCCUCUUCUCCCUGGUGGUGCAGCCUUGCAGGCUCAAUGAGCCCCAGGCGGGGGUCGGAGGGCAGCAGGAGGGGCCGUUCAGCCUGUGCUCGGCUCCUCUCCUGCGGGGAGUCCACUAUCCCCAGGAGGCUUCAGAGGUGGAAGAAGCCCCUUAGCUUCUGGGGCUGACAUGCAGGAGCCGGGAGGUCCAGUUCACACAGGGCUAUGUCCACCCCUUCAGGACAAUGUGAUCUCAGUGUGAGUGUGAGCAAGCUGUGCACACACCAGACACUCGGACGCAGCACACCUCUGCUCCCAGGGGCUGCUUGCUGACAUCAGGUGCCAGGUGCAAGGCUUUAGCAGUACAUUAGCGGCUGUCGUGUGUGCUGCCCCAGAUACCCUUGAUGGCAGCAGAGGAUGGCAGGGCCGCAGAGGCCAGGCAGUCACCCCAUGCCUGGGCACUCCUGCCCAGCCGCCUCGAGGCAGGUGCUGCAUCUCUGUCCUGGUCUGCAAAUGUGGAGCGGCUGACAUGACAUUGCCUCACCUGGCAGCUUGCUGACUGGACCAGGCCAAGCCUGCAGCUCCUGGGUGGGGUGGGGCAUGGCCCCCAGGUGACUGCCACUCUCUGAUUGUGACAUCUUCAGUUCCACCUCCAGCCCUGCAGGACCCCUCACCCUCUGGCCCAGGAAUCACUGGUUGCAUUGCCAUCAGGCUCCCAUCAGCCCCCAAGCCCAACCAGCUUCGUCCUUUAAGGGGACCUUGGCCCUGCGGGAGUUCAGGGGGCUCUUUCCACAGCGGAGUCAGGGAGAGAGCUGGAUGAGGUCUCAGAAGCUACUGACUGAGGUUGACCGGGAAAGUGGGCACUGAGAUGCGAAGCUGGCCGUGGCCAGUGGACAGGCUGGCUGGCCUACCUCCGUGCUCAGGCUCCUCAGGGACGACUGCACCCAUGGGAGAGAGUGGGUUACUCCUGCCCUGCCAGCGCUGGAGGUGGGACUGUAUCUGCUCUGCUUGCCCCUCCCAGCCUGCCUGGAAUCUCCACUGAGGGCCACCUUUGCCCAAGGGAUUCCACCCCUGCCCACCCCAGGAAGAGGAGUCAGGGGCACAGACACCUUGUCACCCCUCGCCCCUUGCCAGCCCCUUGCUCAGGGAUCUGGGAGAAGCAGACCAGGGCGGUGGGGUCUUCUGGAGCAGGUGGAGCCCAGCCUGGGUCUGCCCAGGAGGGUGGACAUCUGCAGCUGGUUGUUCGCAAACUAUUCUAUUUUUUGACCAAUGUGUUUUAUUGUGGUAAAAGACCCCUAAAUUUUCCAUCUUAACUGUUUUUUUCAGUAGGACAUUGGGCUCAUUCCCAUUGUGCAACCUCACUACCGUCCGUCUGCAGAACCCUUCCUUGGUCUCCCCAGUCAGAGAUUCCCAGCCCCUCCUGGCCCCUGGCUCGCCUUCUGCUCUGUCUCUGAUUCUGCUCCUCCAGACACCUCUAUAAGCGGACCCCUCAGCACUGUCCCCCUGCUCCUGGCUCAUGUCACUCAGUGCCACAUCUGCAGGCGCCAUCUGUCUGCAGGGUGCCAGCUUCCCGGUCUGCUCCCUGUCCAUGGACACGUGGGCUGCUUCUACGUCGAGGCUGCUGCAGAAAGUCCUGCUGUGCGAAUGGGUGUACAAAUAUCUUUCAGACCCUGACUUCAAACCUCUUGAUUACACAUACCCAGGAGUGGAUUUGCUAUAUCACACAGUAACUGUGCUUCUAGUGUUCUGAGGUUCCACUGCCCUGGCGGGUCAUUUACAGUCCCACCAACAGCACACGUGGCCCAGCUGCUGCACAUCCUCAAGAACACUUCCUGUUUUGGGUUUCUAUAGUAGCCAUCCUGAUGGUGGCAGUUGGUGUCUCAUUAGGGUUUGCAUUUCCCUCGGGGCCAAUGAGUGAACCUCUCUCCAUGUGCUUUGUGCCAUUGGGAGAAAUGUCUGUUCAAGUCCUUUGCCUGUUUCAUCUUUCAGUUUUUUGGCUAUGUUGCUUUUAGAAGUUUUCUAUAUAUUCUUGAUGUUAAUUCUGCAACAUAUAACCUAUAAUUUACAAAUACAACCCCCCUUUCUGGGGUGCCUGUUUUCCCUGUGGACACCCUUUGGUGCACACAAUUUUACAACUUUGUCUGUGUCAUCAUUGUGGUUACCCACGGCUUUGUGUCCUAACCAGAGCCAAUGUUGGAGUCUCGAAGGUCAGCUCUGCUUUCUCUCCAGGGAGAUGGCCAGGCCGCACAAGCUGGAGCUUGUCUGGAGGGGCCCCUAUAGCUUUGGGGUGCGUCCUCGGCCAGGCCUCGCUGGCCCGCAGGCUGGGCUCCAGCAGCAGAGCGGGUCCACUUGGGUCCGGUGGCAGUGCCUGGGCCCUGCAGCCCCGGCCAGGCCUGCCUCGGAAGGAGCUCAGGUCUGAGGUGGAGCCAGGCGAGAGCCUCUGGAAGCUCCAUGCAGCAUCAGGGCUGGUCUCGGGGACACGUGUGGUGAGACGCAGAGCAGUCAGGACCUUGCCCUCCGCCUCGAGGCUGCUGUGGCUCUCUGCUAGGACAGGGGCGAGGCAGCCAGGCCACACCAGGCCCCCAGGAAGCAUCCUGUCAUCUUGUGGGAGCCAAGGCCCGGCCAGACUGGGGGAAGUCAGUGACAGGGCUGGGGACUUGGCACCUGUGCUGUUUGCAGUCAGACGGCCAGGUCCCGCCACCCCGGCACCAUCCUGAGCUCAGCCCGCAGCCUGAGAGGUGGUUUUAAACACUUGCUUUUAUCUGUUUCCCCAAAUGCGUGGAGCCACCUAGGGGUGGAGCUGGAGGCAUUUUCUCUUCAAAUUCUGUCUCACACAGUUGCUGGAUCAGAUUUCAUUUUUAAAAAUGGAACCCACGCCUUUUGUUAUCCACUCCGUGUAUUUAUGGUGUCCACCCCGGUGUAGCUGGGCAGCUUGCCCAUUGUCGGUCACAAGAGGGAGGCAUAAGCAAUUUACGAGAAUUAAAAGGGCCAUUUAGAAAAGUAUUUCAGCCAGGUGUAGCGGCACAUGCCUGUAAUCCCAGCAUUCUGGGAGCCCGAAGGCAAGAGGGUUGUGAGUUCAAAAUCAGCCCAGACAAGUUAGUGAUUUAGCAAAACCCUGUCUCAACAUAUAAAUGAACAAAUGAGUAAAUAGGCUGAGGAUGCGGCUCUGUGUGAAGGCCCUGGGUUCUGAAUCCCCAGUUCUGAAAACAAACAAAUAUUUUGAGGGCAGGCAGUGCACACAGUGGGAAAUCAGAUUGUGGGCACAAGUAUGGGGGGGCCAGUUCCAGACACCAGGCAUGGCGGGAACGGGCAGUCCUGGAGCAAGCCUCUGGCUGGCAGCAUCUGCAUGGCAGGGUGGGGAGAGGUGGCCCUGCUGGCCCGUGUUUUGGUUCAUCCUUCAUCUGGCUGAGGCCUCUUUCUUGGCAUCUGGCCCUGUGCACCUGUCCAUGGCCCAGCACAUCCCCUGUCCAGCAGGAGCGGUGGCCUCCCGGAAGCAGGGAGGAGCCGUGGGGGUGGCUGCCCCCUGGUGCUCCUCGCAGGCCAGGGUGUCGAAGGCACAGACAUCACGGCAGAGUUUCUCUCAGCUGCAGCCUCCUUGAGAGCUUUAUGGCCCUGGCCCUCGCUGUGUCCCCUAGGAAGGACCUGGGAUCUCGGGGGGCCCUUGGCGCUCUGGGGUAGAGAAUCUGCUGAGGUGGGAAAACACCGGGCAAAGGUGGAACAUUAGACUUUAUCUUCUUCCCAGGCUGGUUCCUUCCCAAACUGAUGGGACCAAGACAACUCCAGAAGUCCUUGUCCAUCCUUGAGCUCUGUGGUUCAUGGAUAAAAGACCUAAAUAUUCAGGUCAGGAUGGCAAGGAGGUGGUGGGCGUGCAGAUGGAUCUCCAGUGGAGGAUCCCAGGCUGAACAUGCUGGGGGGGAAAGGUGAUGUUGGAGGGAUGCCACAUUGCUGGCAUGUUUGCUUCCGUGUCCCCCUGUGGCCUGGCAAGUCAGGACCACUCCUUCGCUGGGAGGGGUCUGUGUGGCUGCUAUCCGCUAAUGACAUGCCAGCAUGUGAAGGUCACCUGUCAAUCGGGUGUUAAGCAAAGACAGGUUCUGGUGAGGGUGCUCUGUUCUCUGUUUUGGUGUGGGACUUCAGCAACUCAGAGCUUGGCACUUUUGGCCUGGUUUUUGACAGCACAGUCCCCGGGCUGCACUCGGGGGAUGCUGCCUUUCCCAGGGUCCGGGUUGGGAAGGGUCACCGCACACCUCUGCCUCCUCAUUGGACCACAGAUUCUGUGCCAGCCACGCUGGAGCCACAUUUGCUCCUGCUGUCUCCCAGUGUCCUCACUGCCUCUCCUCUCAUGGUUCUGCGUUUUGUAGGAAUCACUGAGCCUGAGCUUGAAGCAGCUCAGAGACUCACUGGCAGGAUACACACGCCAGAGCUGGUGUCCAUGGCUGCUGCCAAGCCUUGUCUCCAGCUGGCCAGCCCCGUGGAGGAAGGGGUGGGGAGGUCACAGGCACAGAAAACGUCCAUGGUGCUGUCCCCUGCUGCCCCUGAGGUAGUUUGGCAGGGGCAGCCCCUGGAAAGAGCCUGGCUUUGUAUAUGGCCUUUGUGUCCCCUCCCAAGGCUGUUGAGUUCCCAGCCACCUCCCAGUGAUAAGCCUGGGACAUCACGCCACAUUUGUAGGGCCUCAGACAGCCACUUCCCUUACACUUUCCUGUUAUUCUAACUGGAAUGAUACCUGCUCAGCAUCGAGGCCAUUCUUAGUCACACUUUUUGCUCAGAUUAGAUAGUAAUCAAUUUUGUGUUAUUUAAAAGUGUGGAACAGGAGGUCAAGCUAAAUGGAUGCUGUUCUCUGGAUUCCACCACACUGCAUACCUCUUCCUCCUGCUGAUGGCUUUCUGUCUUGGGGGCUGGAUGGUUCCUUUGUCUCCUUGGGUCCUCUGGGACCGGAAGGACUUGGAUCUCAUCUGCCUGGGCCCUGUGGGUAAAUUGAAAGGUUUCCGGAAUUGGUUUAAGAAGUCAGUAAAUAAUUUGGCUUCAGAGGGGCCUGCAGAGCCCACGUGGCCAGCAGCAGGUUGUUCUGUGGAUCACAAGAGCGUGUAGCUGGUGACAGGGCCACAAGAGGCCCAGGGUGACAGUCUCUGCUGGUCCUCACGGUGCUCACCCACUGGCCCUGGCCCCUCCAGGUGAGACCACCUCUGUGCUGGGGUGUGUGUCACACAGUCCCUGCCAGCACUGCAGGCCCACUGAGGCACGCAGCCCUUUUGCUUUUUAGGUAGCAAGAUACAGGCCUGGAUCAGGUCCAGCUUGCCAGGAACUUACCGUGAGGGCCUGACACAUGUUAACGGGGGCUGUGGGGUUCUCACCGAGCUCCCCAGGACCUGCUAACCGGGAGGGAGAUGAGAUGCGUGAGCAGAGGCCCCUCCUGUGGCCUUGGGGUGGGGUAGGAGGAGGCACAGAUGCUGUGGGGUCACAGGCGGGGAAGCGCUCCCUGGAGGGACAGUGGCUUCAGACAGGAGGUUCCCAGCAAGAGCAGCCAGGGCUUGGCCGGGCAGAGACCCUGCAUGUGUCUGACCUAUACCCGCUCCUGCCUCAAGGUGCCAUCCAGAAUGAUCCUGGGCAGCCUGCUCACCAGUGCCUCCCUGCCUCCCCUGGCAGUCCCGGGCCGUUUUCAUUUACUCAUUCAUUCACUCAUUCAUUCAUUCACUCACUCAUUCACUCACUUGUCCAGCCUCACGUUCACUCGUUCAUAGCAUGUUCACUUGAUCAUUCAGUCACUGACUCAUUCAUUUACUCACUCCAUCUGCUCAUUCAUUCAUUCAUUCAAUCAGAACUCACUCAUACGCUGGCUCAGCCCUUCAUGUGCUCAUUUGCUCACUCAUUCCUCAAACAAACCGACCUGGCAGUUAUGGUGGGUGGGAG
RNAcentral lists this long non-coding RNA (22442 nucleotides) under Heterocephalus glaber (naked mole-rat). RNAcentral describes it as "lncRNA (ENSHGLG00100034976.1)". The record is from RNAcentral. Lineage: Eukaryota; Metazoa; Chordata; Mammalia; Rodentia; Bathyergidae.